This 850-nucleotide ribosomal RNA is filed under the name Bacillus sp. (in: firmicutes). RNAcentral describes it as "bacterial SSU rRNA". It matches the Rfam family "Bacterial small subunit ribosomal RNA", at positions 28 to 860 of the family's 1533-position model. The record is from RNAcentral. Lineage: Bacteria; Bacillati; Bacillota; Bacilli; Caryophanales; Bacillaceae.
UACGAACGCUGGCGGCGUGCCUAAUACAUGCAAGUCGAGCGAACAGAAGGGAGCUUGCUCCCGGAUGUUAGCGGCGGACGGGUGAGUAACACGUGGGUAACCUGCCUGUAAGACUGGGAUAACUCCGGGAAACCGGAGCUAAUACCGGAUAGUUCCUUGAACCGCAUGGUUCAAGGAUGAAAGACGGUUUCGGCUGUCACUUACAGAUGGACCCGCGGCGCAUUAGCUAGUUGGUGGGGUAAUGGCUCACCAAGGCGACGAUGCGUAGCCGACCUGAGAGGGUGAUCGGCCACACUGGGACUGAGACACGGCCCAGACUCCUACGGGAGGCAGCAGUAGGGAAUCUUCCGCAAUGGACGAAAGUCUGACGGAGCAACGCCGCGUGAGUGAUGAAGGUUUUCGGAUCGUAAAGCUCUGUUGUUAGGGAAGAACAAGUGCGAGAGUAACUGCUCGCACCUUGACGGUACCUAACCAGAAAGCCACGGCUAACUACGUGCCAGCAGCCGCGGUAAUACGUAGGUGGCAAGCGUUGUCCGGAAUUAUUGGGCGUAAAGGGCUCGCAGGCGGUUUCUUAAGUCUGAUGUGAAAGCCCCCGGCUCAACCGGGGAGGGUCAUUGGAAACUGGGAAACUUGAGUGCAGAAGAGGAGAGUGGAAUUCCACGUGUAGCGGUGAAAUGCGUAGAGAUGUGGAGGAACACCAGUGGCGAAGGCGACUCUCUGGUCUGUAACUGACGCUGAGGAGCGAAAGCGUGGGGAGCGAACAGGAUUAGAUACCCUGGUAGUCCACGCCGUAAACGAUGAGUGCUAAGUGUUAGGGGGUUUCCGCCCCUUAGUGCUGCAGCUAACGCAU